UCAAGUUAUUAAGGGUGCAGGGCGGAUGCCUUGGCACUAGGAGCCGAUGAAGGACGUGAUAAGCUGCGAUAAGCUUCGGGGAGUUGCACGUAAACUUUGAUCCGAAGAUUUCCGAAUGAGGAAACUCACUUAGAGUAAUGUCUAAGUAUCAUUAAGUGAAUACAUAGCUUAAUGAGGGGAACUCAGGGAACUGAAACAUCUAAGUACCUGAAGGAAGAGAAAGAAAUUCGAUUCCGUAAGUAGCGGCGAGCGAACGCGGAUUAGCCCAAACCAAUAAAGUUUUCUUUAUUGGGGUUGAGGACAUACCACAUAUAAGAGGUCAUUAUAGACGAAGAAGUUUGGAAAAACUCAUCAUAGAAGGUAAUAAUCCUGUAGUCAAAAUAAUAAUUCUUUAGGUAUGAUCCAGAGUACCACGGGACACGUGAAACCCUGUGGGAAGCAGGAGGGACCACCCUCCAAGGCUAAAUACUACCUAGUGACCGAUAGCGUAUAGUACCGUGAGGGAAAGGUGAAAAGAACCCCGGGAGGGGAGUGAAAUAGAACCUGAAACCCUGCACUUACAAGCUGUGGAAGCACAUUUCUUGUGUGACCGCGUACUUUUUGUAGAACGGGCCAACGAGUUACGUUAAGUAGCAAGGUUAAGCACUUAAGGUGNGGAGCCGUAGCGAAAGCGAGUUUUAACUGAGCGUUCAGUUACUUGACGUAGACCCGAAACCGGGCGACCUACCCAUGAGCAGGAUGAAGCGAAAGUAAAAUUUCGUGGAGGUCCGAACCCACGAGCGUUGAAAAGCUCGGGGAUGACUUGUGGGUAGCGGUGAAAUUCCAAUCGAGCCCGGAGAUAGCUGGUUCUCCCCGAAAUAGCUUUAGGGCUAGCCUCAAGGUGAGAGAUACGGAGGUAGAGCACUGAAUGUCCUAGGGGGUAUUGCACCUACCGAAGACUAUCAAACUCCGAAUGCCGUCAUCUUAUACUUGGGAGUCAGACUGUGGGUGAUAAGAUUCAUAGUCGAAAGGGCAACAGCCCAGAUCGUCAGCUAAGGUCCCUAAAUGUAAGUUAAGUGGUAAAGGAUGUGGGAUUGCACAGACAACCAGGAUGUUGGCUUAGAAGCAGCCACUCAUUCAAAGAGUGCGUAAUAGCUCACUGGUCGAGUGAUCCUGCGCCGAAGAUUUCCGGGGCUAAAACUUACUACCGAAGCUACGGCAUCAGUAAUGAUGGGUAGGGGAGCUUCCCAUACGGGUUGAAGCAUGACCGUAAGGACAUGUGGACAGUAUGGGAGUGAGAAUGUUGGCAUGAGUAGCGAGAUGUGGGUGAGAAUCCCACAGGCCGUAAACCCAAGGUUUCCAGGGGAAGGUUCGUCCGCCCUGGGUUAGUCGGGACCUAAGCUGAGGCCGAAAGGCGUAGGUGAUGGACAACAGGUUGAUAUUCCUGUACUACCGAUAACCGUUUGAGAGAAGGGAUGACACAGUAGGAUAAGCUAAGCACACUGUUGGUUAUGUGUGCCCAAGCAUUGAGGCAGUCAAAGUAGGCAAAUCCGCUUUGAUAAUGCUGGGAUGUGAUGGGGAGCGAAAUUUAGUAGCGAAGUAGCUGAUUUCACACUGUCAAGAAAAGUCUCUAUCGAGGUUAAAGGUACCCGUACCGCAAACCGACACAGGUGGGUGAGGAGAGUAUCCUAAGGCCAGCGAGAGAACUGUUGUUAAGGAACUCGGCAAAAUGACCCCGUAACUUAGGGAUAAGGGGUGCCACCAUCAGGUGGCCGCAGAGAAUAGGCCCAAGCGACUGUUUACCAAAAACAUAGGUUUCUGCUAAGUCGCAAGACGAUGUAUAGGAGCUGACGCCUGCCCGGUGCUGGAAGGUUAAGGGGAUCUGUUAGAGCAAUCGAAGCAGUGAACUUAAGCCCCAGUAAACGGCGGCCGUAACUAUAACGGUCCUAAGGUAGCGAAAUUCCUUGUCGGGUAAGUUCCGACCCGCACGAAAGGCGUAACGAUUUGGGCACUGUCUCAACAACAGACUCGGUGAAAUUGUAAUUCCGGUGAAGAUGCCGGAUACCUGCGACAGGACGGAAAGACCCCAUGGAGCUUUACUGUAGCUUGACAUUGGGUCUUGGUACUACAUGUACAGGAUAGGUGGGAGGCUUUGAAACCAGGACGCCAGUUUUGGCGGAGCCAUCCUUGGGAUACCACCCUUGUAGUACUGGGACUCUAACCAUAGGCCAUGAAUCUGGUCUUGGGACACUGUCAGGUGGGCAGUUUGACUGGGGCGGUCGCCUCCCAAAAGGUAACGGAGGCGCUCAAAGGUUCUCUCAGUACGGUCGGAAAUCGUACGUAGAGUGUAAAGGCAAAAGAGAGCUUGAUUGCAAGACAUACAGGUCGAGCAAGGAUGAAAAUCGGACUUAGUGAUCCGGUGGUUCUGCGUGGAAGGGCCAUCGCUCAACGGAUAAAAGCUACCCUGGGGAUAACAGGCUUAUCUCCCCCAAGAGUCCACAUCGACGGGGAGGUUUGGCACCUCGAUGUCGGCUCAUCACAUCCUGGGGCUGUAGUAGGUCCCAAGGGUUGGGCUGUUCGCCCAUUAAAGUGGUACGCGAGCUGGGUUCAGAACGUCGUGAGACAGUUCGGUCCCUAUCCGUCGCAGGCGUAGGAAAUUUGAGAAGACCUGUCCUUAGUACGAGAGGACCGGGAUGGACGUACCUCUGGUGUACCAGUUGU
This 2700-nucleotide ribosomal RNA is filed under the name Clostridioides difficile. RNAcentral describes it as "bacterial LSU rRNA". It matches the Rfam family "Bacterial large subunit ribosomal RNA". Lineage: Bacteria; Bacillati; Bacillota; Clostridia; Peptostreptococcales; Peptostreptococcaceae. The record is from RNAcentral.